Lutra lutra (Eurasian river otter) is the source of this 188-nucleotide long non-coding RNA. RefSeq lists it as uncharacterized. The transcript is spliced from 3 exons. The record is from RefSeq and is a predicted model, not a curated record. NCBI's taxonomy places the organism in Eukaryota, Metazoa, Chordata, Mammalia, Carnivora, Mustelidae.
AUCUAUUCUGGAGAACUUCCCAUGUGUGCUCAAAAGGAAUGUGUAUGCUGCUGUUUUAGGAGAGAAUGUUCUGAGUACAUCUGUUAAGUCCAUUCACUCCUGCGUGUCAUCCAAAGCCACUGUUUCCUUGUUGAUUUUCUGCUUAGAUGAUCUGUCCAUUAAUGUAAGUGGGGAGAUAAGGGUUACUG